Prunus persica (peach) is the source of this 1240-nucleotide long non-coding RNA. RefSeq lists it as uncharacterized. The record is from RefSeq and is a predicted model, not a curated record. Lineage: Eukaryota; Viridiplantae; Streptophyta; Magnoliopsida; Rosales; Rosaceae. The transcript is spliced from 2 exons.
UUCACUAAAAUGCCACGAAUCCAAUAUGUUCCACAAGAGACAGUCGGAAGGGAGAUUCCUUGUAUGUUGUAUUUGAGGUGGAAUCCACGUCGAUUAGGAUGAAAUAUAAAUUCAAAAGUUCCUUUCUUGUAAGAAUGGUAGGACGGAUGACAUGAUCCUAAAAGUCUUCACGAAAAAAACACAUCAAAAGUUCCUUUCUUGUAAGCGUGGUCGGACAGUUGACAUGAUCCUAAAAGUUUCCAUGGAAAAAAAUCGCACUCUACACUAGUGGUUUACUUACAAUCUCACAUUCAAAUGUGCAUGCCAAUUAGGAAAACCACCAUAUGAGUAUGACCUAUCUCAUCCCUGUCUGUUUUGUUGCACAGGAUGAGCUUGCAAGGAUGCCAAGGCACUUUUCCUCAACCUCACUCCAAGCAGUCGCUUUUGAUCUUAAUCAAUCAAUCCUCAAUCCUGUUCUUGAUUUUGUCUGUGUCUUUUUCUUUUUCUCCCUCUUCUCUGGUGCUGGGAAUGGGUUAUAUUUCAUCUGGUAAGAAUCAUGUUAAGUCAGAUUUCAUGUGAUAAACACAACAUGAAACUUAGGACUUGGGCACAACCAAACUUGGUGGUAUAGUUUCAUAAAAAUGAAUACCCAAUUAGGACAGCAAAGCGUGGUCCAAUUCUUCACAUUCACUUCAUACCACUAAUCAAUUUUACCUAUCUCUUGGCCUCCCAACUCUUAUGCCUAGUCGAACCCCAAGAAGCACCAUUGCAGAAAGUUCACCAAACUAGCAUCAUGCAGAGAAAGAGUGAUGAUGAAUUAUACAUCAUCACCCGAUUCACUGCAACAUAGAUAUUUCGGUCACCAGCAUAACAGUUUGAACCAUGUUAAGCUGGAAAGUGAUGAAGAAUAUGUGAAGGGAAAAAAGAGAAAGUUUAAGGGACGAUUCGAGGCACAGAAGCUGCCCUCCGGUUAGGGUUUCGGUACCGGACAUCUUGUUUUAGCUACAUGUUAAGGAAAGCAAGAGCAUUUUACAACGACUUCGCUGUGAUGCAUUAUUUGAUGGUGGUGAUAGUAAAAGGGCACUGGGAUAUGAUGAAGUCAUGUUGGUGGAUCCUUAUUUUGUCAAUCCCAGUUACUCCUUUCACCUCCUUGGAAAAAUGGGGUGUGUGUGUGUGUGUGUUUUUUUCCCCUUUUCUAUAUCUACUGGAGUUUUACGUACUAAUUCUGUAAUUAAUAAUUAGUGAAGACAGUUAUAAUGUU